This 109-nucleotide ribosomal RNA is filed under the name Psychopsis papilio. RNAcentral's name for it is "partial 18S ribosomal RNA". It matches the Rfam family "Eukaryotic small subunit ribosomal RNA", at positions 1708 to 1831 of the family's 1831-position model. Lineage: Eukaryota; Viridiplantae; Streptophyta; Magnoliopsida; Asparagales; Orchidaceae. The record is from RNAcentral.
GGGCGGUUCGCCGCCCGCGACAUGGCGAGAAGUCCAUUGAACCUUAUCAUUUAGAGGAAGGAGAAGUCGUAACAAGGUUUCCGUAGGUGAACCUGCGGAAGGAUCAUUG